UCAAACUUGGUCAUUUAGAGGAAGUAAAAGUCGUAACAAGGUCUCCGUUGGUGAACCAGCGGAGGGAUCAUUACUGAGUUAUCAAAACUCCCAAACCCAUGUGAACCUACCUAUUGUUGCCUCGGCAGGGCCUGUCGAGGGCGUCGUCUUCGGGCGGUGCCCCCUCGCCAGCGGCCUGCCGGUGGACCACCAAAACUCUUGUUAUUAUUGCGCAACUCUGAGUUAAACAAACAUAAUAAGUUAAAACUUUCAACAACGGAUCUCUUGGUUCUGGCAUCGAUGAAGAACGCAGC
RNAcentral lists this unclassified non-coding RNA (293 nucleotides) under uncultured fungus. RNAcentral's name for it is "partial contains small subunit ribosomal RNA, internal transcribed spacer 1, and 5.8S ribosomal RNA". The stretch from base 1 to 73 matches the Rfam family "Eukaryotic small subunit ribosomal RNA", at positions 1759 to 1831 of the family's 1831-position model. Lineage: Eukaryota; Fungi. The record is from RNAcentral.